RNAcentral lists this unclassified non-coding RNA (329 nucleotides) under soil metagenome. Its description in RNAcentral is "partial contains 5.8S ribosomal RNA, internal transcribed spacer 2, and large subunit ribosomal RNA". The stretch from base 1 to 120 matches the Rfam family "5.8S ribosomal RNA", at positions 35 to 154 of the family's 154-position model. The record is from RNAcentral.
GAUGAAGAACGCAGCGAAAUGCGAUAAGUAAUGUGAAUUGCAGAAUUCAGAGAAUCAUCGAAUCUUUGAACGCACAUUGCGCCCCUUGGUAUUCCGAGGGGCAUGCCUGUUCGAGCGUCAUUAUAACCCCUCAAGCUCAGCUUGGUGUUGGGGCCUGCUGCACUGGCAGCCCUUAAAAUCAGUGGCGGCGCCAUCUGGCUCUAAGCGUAGUAAUUCUUCUCGCUAUGGAGUCCUGGUGGAUGCUUGCCAUCAACCCCCAAUUUUUCUAUGGUUGACCUCGGAUCAGGUAGGGAUACCCGCUGAACUUAAGCAUAUCAAUAAGCGGAGGA